RNAcentral lists this ribosomal RNA (512 nucleotides) under uncultured Entrophospora. RNAcentral describes it as "SSU rRNA". It matches the Rfam family "Eukaryotic small subunit ribosomal RNA", at positions 569 to 1078 of the family's 1831-position model. Lineage: Eukaryota; Fungi; Glomeromycota; Glomeromycetes; Entrophosporales; Entrophosporaceae. The record is from RNAcentral.
AGCAGCCGCGGUAAUUCCAGCUCCAAUAGCGUAUAUUAAAGUUGUUGCAGUUAAAAGCUCGUAGUUGAAUUUCGGGAUUGACGUGAUGGUCAUGCCUUAAGGGGUAUGAACUGUUACUGUUGAUUUCUCACCUUCUGGAGAAACUUGAUGUCCUUUAUUGGGUGUCUUGCGGAUCCAGGACCUUUACCUUGAAAAAAUUAGAGUGUUUAAAGCAGGCAUUUUUGCUCGAAUACAUUAGCAUGGAAUAAUAGAAUAGGACGGCAUGGUUCUAUUUUGUUGGUUUCUAGGAUCACCGUAAUGAUUAAUAGGGAUAGUUGGGGGCAUUAGUAUUCAAUUGUCAGAGGUGAAAUUCUUGGAUUAUUGAANCUAACUACUGCGAAAGCAUUUGCCAAGGAUGUUUUCAUUAAUCAAGAACGAAAGUUAGGGGAUCGAAGACGAUCAGAUACCGUCGUAGUCUUAACCAUAAACUAUGCCAACUAGGAAUCAGACGAUGUUAAUUUUUUAAUGACUCG